CUGAAAGAUGUGUUUCAAAGUACAUGUCAAUGCUACGAAUUCAGUGGUAUCAAAAUAUCAGUAAUAAAGUUUUAGUAACAUUUCACAACUAGCUAUUAAGUUGUUUAAACAACCCACAAAUACAAAUGUAGUUUCCUGUUCUUGUUUAUAAUUCCCCUCCUGCUUAGUUGCUGGGAUUGACUUUGAUUUUGACUGACUCAUCUCUGACAGGGUGUGAAAAGAGCAAUAAGCUUUACAGAGGGUCUGCGAGGAGGGGGUCUGACAUGAGAGAGAUCCUGUCUUAUCUUCCCCUCCUGUAAAAGCUGAGCUCCUUCAGGAGGAUGUAAUUGUCCUCUCUAAUGACUUGCACUUGGUAGGGGAAGACAAAGAGAGCACAAUAAAGGACUUUAGAGGCCCUCCAGUAGGAAUCCUUUGCUUUAAAUUGCAGAGCAAAUGAAACUGCCCGUUGUUUCCUCGGCUCAGGUCGAGAGUGCUCUGUCACAGACACAGAGGUGAGGCAGGACCAAAGCAGACCGAGGCGAGAACACCUGCUGGGUCCUAAUUGGUCCUCGCUGCUGUUAAUGGCUUCCUGUGGCUGUGUGUUUACUUCUCAUUUGUUCUGUGUACUCUGUUUCCCAGCCCCAAAACAAGGGAGGCCUGCCCUCUGUCUCUGCCUGUCUGUCUGCCUCCUCUUUUCUUCUUCACUCAGAAACAAAAUAAGUUGUCCUUCUCCAAGCUGCUGCACGAUGACUCAUACCUGAAGCCCCUCCCUAAAACCCUAUUACCUGAUCUUUGACCUCCAGAGGCAGUUAUCUAAGCAUGGACAUUUGAAAACCCACCACGACUUGGAGGACUUUUAUAGGGGCAUCACACUAACCGUCACCCAGUACAGCUGUAUAAAAGUCUGGAGGAUGUCAAGAAAAGGAGUUAAGAAACAUUUUUUAUAUUAAAACUUUCUCUCUAGAUAUGUUAUGGAGAAAAGCAGUAGAUGUGAAUUUGUAAUGUGUGUUGAUGUUACGACAAGAAAUCAGAAAAACAUCCCCAUACCGCUGAAGAUAGAGGACAUGAAGGCCACUCCAGGAGGAGAAUACCUACACUGUAAUAAGUAGUGGUUACUUCAUUUAAUAGACCUGGGAAAUAAGUUCAGGCAGAUAUAUAUAUAUAUUUUUUAAUGUAUGAUUAUGUCUGCUGCCUUGAUUGUAACCCCUGCAACAUUCGGUACUUUUAGAGUAAUAUUUUGACUUGAUUUUGUUUUUCAGAUGUAAGCUUUUUUGCUUUUUUCAUGAGACUUGGACGAAUAGAUUGACACCACACUCUCACAUUUGUCUGUUAAAAAUAAAGUUACAGCUAAGCCAGUUAGCGUAGCUUAGAAAAUGGGAAAACAGCAAGCCUUGCUUUUGCACCUUUUUAAAACUCGCAAAUUAAAAUAAAUACAAAAAAUAGUUUGUUUAACAAGUCUAAAAGCAACAGGUUGAGAUUAUAUGGGGUUUGAGUCACAAAAUGAUUCUCUAAUGCUUUAAAAUAAAACAACGUACAAGUCUUCAAUAUUUCGAACUCAGGGUAUACGUGUAAAAGAUACAGCUGGUGUUGGUAAGGGGCCGGCUGUCUGUAGAGGCCUCGGCUCCUAAACUGUGAGCUCUCUGGAUCUCUGUUUGCUCUGCCUUUAAGAACAAACAGGGACUCCACUGGAGGCUUGUUUAGCGUGGACCCUCCUGGAGGAGAGAGCUGAUUACUCACGUAGAAGUGAGAUGACCAAACACAAUCUGACCCUGCUGUUGUGGAGACUCGCCUACUCGGUCGGCCACUUUAACUUCCACAAACAUCGUCCAGGGGGAAAUGUCGUCAUUAUGUCCGCUACAAAAGAGAUAUAGCAAUUGGGCCAGUGGUGUCACCUUAUGCCAGCCCUGUGAGCAGAUGUGGAACUGUUUGAGAAGUUCCUACUCAUUUAAAGCUUUAUGGGCGUCCAGGCAAACAGCACUCCAUUUAGCAAAAAGUGGCAGAGAUAAUCGGAGAGCCUUUAAGACUUUGAGUUGUAUUGUGGUUCCACUCAUCGCUAGUUAUACAAGCAUUAUACUGGUAUUAAGAAUAAUCUACUACUUAAGCUUCAGUUUGAAGAUAGAAGACUGGAGGUUUUGUUUAUUCUGCAGCUAAUCAUCUUUUAGUUUAUACACCUGAACCUCUACUAAUUUCUUUCAGGACUUUUACUUCAAUUGACACUUCCCGCUCAAUUUAUUGUUGAAUAUUGAUCAACAUUACAACUUGAACUUCAGUGUUUUACUUUUGUAGCACCCUAACCCUAAACUUCACUUGGCACUAACACUUGUAUGACACUUUGACGUUGAAACCUACCUUUCUUUCAGCACCUCCAUUUUAACUGCUAAUUCCACUUCUCUCAGUAACUCUAGGUAAAUUGCCUCUUCAACUACUGUUUCGGUAUUAUAACUAUAUCAAGUAUUUAAAAUCUAAUAUUUCAAUAGAGAGUAAAGUGUUAAGUAUUUUCUGUUUAAAUGUAUUUUAAGAUGGGCAAUACGUAUGGAAUUAGAAGCACUUUGAUUGAUUUAUUCCAGAAAACUCUCAAAUGCCUAUCUCUUUCUCUAGUUCUGCUGUCGUACCUUUUUUUUCCUAACACAAAAGAAUGCGAUUAACAUGGGUGCUGAUCAUUUUAACCACACAUUUGACAAAUUAUAAUCUAUGAGUGUUUUUGCUUUAAAUCUAAAGAAGGUAACUACCAAGGCAUGUUGUUCGGAUCGCCAUUACAUGUAGGCACCUGCUCGUAUCACCCUCGGUGUCCCUUGUGUUUACAUGUUGUGAAUGUAUAACAGACCGGUGUCGGCCACGGUCACCCUUGUUGUUAAUUGGGGCUGAAUUCUGUUUAGUAUGAGCAUGUAUGAUGUUAGUAAGAGGCUGUCAGCGUCAAACAGCUCAUUGGCUUGCGGACAUUAGACUCUUGGUAAGAAGACGAGUGAAGGCUUACGCUGACAAGUCCUCCAUCAGUGUGAAAUCUCACCACACCACGGACAAACAUGGCGAGACAGCGGCCCUCCCUGCGCCCCCAACCUCUCUGUGCUAUAGGCACAUUCCCCACAUCCAUAAGAAAUACCCAAAAUAAAAGCAAUUAGAGCUGAAGACAAUAUAUGGAGUCGGCAAAGUCCUUGUUUAUGUUUGAGCCAAUUCAUCCAAUCUGUCCUGCGUUGGUUACUAUUUAUAUGUUUAUUAUUAGCUGCUAUGAUUUAUUGGACAGUUUGCUAUCUUUGUGGCCAUCUGGUCAUGGUCUCUUCAACAUGUUGAAUUUCACAAGUAUGCAUUACAGGCCUACAAAAUUAAAUUGACCAGAACAUACCGUGUCUAUUACUAUAGUUGACUGCGAUGAGUGGAAAAUGCACAGAAGCCUGGGCUGGUCUAGUUGCAUCUAAUUUUGUAGGAUCAUCAUAGUCAACCUUUUUGAUGAGUUAUCAUUUACGCCACUGCAUUGUUGGGCUUUUAACAUGUCAUCACUAAUAUUGUUCAUAUAUGAGUGCACAGGUCCACAUCCUCAUUCCUCCACCCGCCUCAGGGUUUGUAUAGAUCUGUUACCUGCUGCACCGUGCUGUGAGUAAACGCUGCCUUGCUCAGGAGUCCUCCCUGAAGCCAGUUUGCACCCAGCAGACAAAGUGUGUUGUCACCCGAGUGCGCAGUGUUAUUGGGUGUGAGCUGCACCACACUAUAGAUACUCUUGAGAAGUAGCACACCAUUAGGAAUAUAUUAACAACCCAACAUUUUGUGUGCAGGUCACACAUCCCAGCUGUAAGCAAGUUGACCAGAUUACAGAUAUUAGAGCAUGAGUCUGGAUCAGGAGAGGGUUUUGCGGAGCUGAUCUUUGGUGGCAGCCAGGAGAAGGAGCAAACUGAGCAAAUGUUUCCCAAGGUUAGGGUAAAAACCACAGGGGCAGCAACCCCACUUAACAAGGGCAGAGAGGGGUAAACACACCUGGAGCAGUGACCACCCUCCUCAACCAACACACAAAGAAUACACUAAACAGAAAGAUAGGCCUAUUACUGUUUAGUUUAGUAAUUAUAUAUUUUCAUAUUUUUGCAUCCAACUUAGAUUUAAUUUUCCGGCUACUCUAUUUACUCCCAGCAUGUGUAUAGCUGCAGAGAAGUUACAGCCAGGAUUUGCUUAUCUUAGCUUAGCAUUAAAGGUGGGGUAGGUAAUUUUGGAGAAACCAGCUCGAGUGCGC
Long non-coding RNA from Trematomus bernacchii (emerald rockcod), 4195 nucleotides. RefSeq lists it as uncharacterized. The transcript has 3 exons. Lineage: Eukaryota; Metazoa; Chordata; Actinopteri; Perciformes; Nototheniidae. The record is from RefSeq and is a predicted model, not a curated record.